GCCCACUUAGCACAGUGGUAGUGCGUGUCACUUGUAAUGACAAGGUCGUUCGUUCAAUCCGGGCAGUGGGCA
RNAcentral lists this transfer RNA (72 nucleotides) under Sphaerobolus stellatus SS14. RNAcentral describes it as "tRNA-Thr (TGT) (tRNA-Thr-TGT-1-1, tRNA-Thr-TGT-1-2)". It matches the Rfam family "tRNA". From Rfam's summary of the family: Transfer RNA (tRNA) molecules are approximately 80 nucleotides in length. Their secondary structure includes four short double-helical elements and three loops (D, anti-codon, and T loops). Further hydrogen bonds mediate the characteristic L-shaped molecular structure. tRNAs have two regions of fundamental functional importance: the anti-codon, which is responsible for specific mRNA codon recognition, and the 3' end, to which the tRNAs corresponding amino acid is attached (by aminoacyl-tRNA synthetases). tRNAs cope with the degeneracy of the genetic code in two manners: having more than one tRNA (with a specific anti-codon) for a particular amino acid; and 'wobble' base-pairing, i.e. permitting non-standard base-pairing at the 3rd anti-codon position. The record is from RNAcentral. Lineage: Eukaryota; Fungi; Basidiomycota; Agaricomycetes; Geastrales; Sphaerobolaceae.